UACGUAGGGGCAAGCGUUAUCCGGAUUUACUGGGUGUAAAGGGAGCGCAGACGGAACUGCAAGUCUGAUGUGAAAGCCCGGGGCUCAACCGCGGGACUGCAUUGGAAACUGUAGAUCUGGAGUGCCGGAGGGGCAAGCGGAAUUCCUGGUGUAGCGGUGAAAUGCGUAGAUAUCAGGAGGAACACCGGCGGCGAAGGUGGCUUUCUGGCCAGUUACUGACGCUCAUGCGCGAGAGCUGGGUUAGCGAACCGGAUUAGAUACCCU
This 264-nucleotide ribosomal RNA is filed under the name uncultured prokaryote. Its description in RNAcentral is "partial 16S ribosomal RNA". It matches the Rfam family "Bacterial small subunit ribosomal RNA", at positions 524 to 788 of the family's 1533-position model. The record is from RNAcentral.